GCAGAAGAAGCUACCGGCUAACUCCGUGCCAGCAGCCGCGGUAAUACGGAGGGUGCGAGCGUUAAUCGGAAUUACUGGGCGUAAAGCGCAUGCAGGUGGUUUGUUAAGUCAGAUGUGAAAGCCCGGGGCUCAACCUCGGAAUUGCAUUUGAAACUGGCAAACUAGAGUACUGUAGAGGGGGUAGAAUUUCAGGUGUAGCGGUGAAAUGCGUAGAGAUCUGAAGGAAUACCGGUGGCGAAGGCGGCCCCCUGGACAGAUACUGACACUCAGACUGCGAAAGCGUGGGGAGCCAAACAGGAUUAGAUACCCCUGGUAG
This 316-nucleotide ribosomal RNA is filed under the name uncultured bacterium. RNAcentral's name for it is "bacterial SSU rRNA". It matches the Rfam family "Bacterial small subunit ribosomal RNA", at positions 481 to 793 of the family's 1533-position model. The record is from RNAcentral.